GAUAGAACGUAGCGAAAUGCGAUAAGUAAUGUGAAUUGCAGAAUUCAGUGAAUCAUCGAAUCUUUGAACGCACAUUGCGCCCGUCAGUAUUCUGGCGGGCAUGCCUGUUCGAGCGUCAUUACGCCCCUCAAGUCCCCUGUGGACUUGGUGUUGGGGAUCGGCGAGGCUGGUUUUCCAGCACAGCCGUCCCUUAAAUUAAUUGGCGGUCUCGCCGUGGCCCUCCUCUGCGCAGUAGUAAAACACUCGCAACAGGAGCCCGGCGCGGUCCACUGCCGUAAAACCCCCCAACUUUUUAUAGUUGACCUCGAAUCAGGUAGGACUACCCGCUGAACUUAAGCAUAUCAAUAAGCGGAGGA
RNAcentral lists this unclassified non-coding RNA (356 nucleotides) under soil metagenome. Its description in RNAcentral is "partial contains 5.8S ribosomal RNA, internal transcribed spacer 2, and large subunit ribosomal RNA". The stretch from base 4 to 118 matches the Rfam family "5.8S ribosomal RNA", at positions 40 to 154 of the family's 154-position model. The record is from RNAcentral.